AUUGAACGCUGGCGGAAUGCUUUACACAUGCAAGUCGAACGGCAGCACGGACUUCGGUCUGGUGGCGAGUGGCGAACGGGUGAGUAAUGUAUCGGAACGUGCCCAGUCGUGGGGGAUAACGUAGUGAAAAUUACGCUAAUACCGCAUACGAUCUAUGGAUGAAAGCGGGGGAUUGCAAAACCUCGCGCGAUUGGAGCGGCCGAUAUCAGAUUAGGUAGUUGGUGGGGUAAAGGCCCACCAAGCCAACGAUCUGUAGCUGGUCUGAGAGGACGACCAGCCACACUGGAACUGAGACACGGUCCAGACUCCUACGGGAGGCAGCAGUGGGGAAUUUUGGACAAUGGGCGAAAGCCUGAUCCAGCCAUUCCGCGUGCAGGAUGAAGGCCCUCGGGUUGUAAACUGCUUUUGUACAGAACGAAAAGGUUUCUACUAAUACUAGGAGCUCAUGACGGUACUGUAAGAAUAAGCACCGGCUAACUUCGUGCCAGCCGCCGCCGUAA
Molecule: ribosomal RNA, 500 nt
Filed under: uncultured bacterium
Lineage: Bacteria
Description: partial 16S ribosomal RNA
Rfam family: Bacterial small subunit ribosomal RNA
Source: RNAcentral